GUUGUGAGGGUUCGGUUGUCAAGCAGCGACCAAUCAGGGCCGGGGAUGGAGGCAAGUGGGGGUCGCGCCUGGAGCUGAUCCGAGGCCUCCGGAGCCGCCGCUGCAGCCCCGAGGAGCUGAGAUGGCUCAAGCCUGACAUCCCAUGAUCUGAGGUCCUGGACCAACGCACAUCGGCUGCUGCUGUGGCCGGUCUAGAAGCACGAGGCGGUCCACGGGGCGGAGACGAGGCAAUUCCUCUGCCUGAAUGUGUGACAACUCCCUACCAACUUGAGUGGAGGAUCUGGGGGGGAUCCGCCCCCACCCCAGGAGGAAAGCGCAGUCUACUUUGCAGGGGGCGCGGCCAGCUGAAGGAUGGCCACCCCCGUGGUCACCAAGACAGCAUGGAAGUUGCAGGAGAUCGUCGCCCACGCCAGCAAUGUGUCCUCGUUGGUGCUGGGCAAGGCGUCCGGACGGCUGCUGGCCACGGGCGGGGACGACUGCCGGGUCAACCUCUGGUCCAUCAACAAACCCAACUGCAUCAUGAGCCUGACGGGCCACACGUCCCCCGUGGAGAGUGUCCGCCUCAACACCCCUGAGGAGCUGGUCGUGGCUGGCUCCCAGUCAGGAUCCAUCCGCGUCUGGGACCUGGAAGCUGCCAAAAUCCUCCGCACACUCAUGGGCCACAAGGCCAACAUCUGCAGCCUGGACUUCCACCCCUAUGGCGAGUUUGUGGCCUCGGGCUCCCAGGACACCAACAUCAAGCUCUGGGACAUCCGGAGGAAAGGCUGCGUCUUCCGCUACCGGGGCCACAGCCAGGCCGUGCGCUGUCUCCGCUUCAGCCCCGACGGGAAGUGGCUGGCAUCGGCCGCCGACGACCACACGGUGAAGCUCUGGGAUCUCACUGCCGGCAAGAUGAUGUCAGAGUUCCCCGGGCACACGGGGCCCGUCACCGUGGUGGAGUUUCACCCCAACGAGUACCUCCUGGCCUCCGGCAGCGCUGACCGGACGAUCCGUUUCUGGGAUCUGGAGAAGUUCCAGGUGGUGAGCUGCAUCGAAGGGGAGCCGGGUCCUGUCAGGAGCGUCCUGUUCAACCCCGAUGGCUGCUGCCUGUACAGCGGCUGCCAGGACUCGCUGCGGGUGUACGGCUGGGAGCCCGAGCGCUGCUUCGACGUGGUCCUGGUCAGCUGGGGCAAGGUGGCCGACCUGGCCAUCUGCAACGACCAGCUGAUUGGCGUGGCCUUCUCCCAGAGCAACGUGUCCUCGUACGUGGUGGACCUGACACGGGUCACCAGGACGGGCACGGUGGCCCCGGACCCCGUGCAGGACAGCAGGCCCCCGGUGCCGCAGCCGCCCCAACCCAGCGCCCCGCUGCGGCGCAUCUACGAGCGGCCCAGCACCACCUGCAGCAAACCUCAGAGCAGGGUGAAGCGGAACUCGGAGAGCGAGCGCCGCAGCCCCAGCAGCGAGGAGGAGCGGGAGGAGCGGGAGUCUCGGGCCGAGAUCCGGAACACGGAGGACUACAACGAGAUCUUCCAGCCCAAGAAGAGCAUCAGCCGGACCCCACCCCGAAGGACUGAGCCCUUCCCAGCACCCCCCGAGGAGGACGUGGCCCCAGCAAAGGAGGCUGCCAAGCCCAGCCCUGCCCCGGACCCGGAGCUCCCUGUGCCAAACAGCCCUGGACGCCUCCAGCUCGAGGUCCCACCCCAGCCCUUGGAGGCGGCCACCACCCCUGCACCCAAGGCCCAGCCCGCCGUCAUCCCUGCCGCCCGCAGCGAGCCCAUCGGGCUGAAGGCCUCCGACUUCCUGCCCGCCGUGAAGGGCCCCCAGCAGGCGGAGCUGGUGGACGAGGACGCCAUGUCCCAGAUCCGCAAAGGCCACGACACCAUGUGCGUGGUGCUCACCAGCCGCCACAAGAACCUGGACACCGUGCGGGCCGUGUGGACCACGGGCGACAUCAAGACGUCAGUCGACUCAGCCGUGGCCAUCAACGACCUGUCGGUGAUGGUGGACCUCCUCAACAUCGUCAACCAGAAAGCCUCCUUGUGGAAACUGGACCUGUGUACCACGGUCCUGCCACAGAUCGAGAAGCUCCUACAGAGCAAAUAUGAAAGCUACGUGCAGACGGGCUGCACCUCCCUGAAGCUCAUCCUGCAGCGCUUCCUGCCCCUGAUCACGGACAUCCUGGCAGCCCCGCCUUCCGUGGGCGUGGACAUCAGCCGGGAGGAGAGGCUACAUAAGUGCCGGCUCUGCUACAAGCAGCUCAAGAGCAUCAGCGGCCUGGUCAGGAGCAAGUCGGGCUUGAGUGGCCGCCACGGCAGUGCCUUCCGCGAGCUGCACCUGCUCAUGGCCAGCCUGGACUGAGUCGCCCGGUGGCUGUGCCCGGCGUGCCCGCCAGCUCACCAGCCACUGCCCGGUUCCCACUGCUGCCCUGCGGCCAGCCUGGAGGCGGCGCAGUGCUGGCCCACUGGUCACCUCCACAGCCCCCAAGCUCGGACCGCGGUGCAGCGGCGGCUGCCUGACUUGAACCGACUCUUGCUUGUGGGGCAGCCGAGAGAGCCCCAGGGUUGCUGCUGUAAUUUAUAAGGUGCCAGUUCUUGGCCCAUUGUUCUCUGGGCUUGAAAGGCAGGACGCACUGACCCUUCCCAGCCGUGGACACCGUCAUCCAGGGGUGUGACCAGCCGGCGGUGGAUGGGGAGGACUGUUUCUCCCGCCAGUGAU
RNA transcript from Sorex araneus (European shrew), 2697 nucleotides. It is a transcript of the gene named katanin regulatory subunit B1, with no coding region annotated. The transcript is spliced from 21 exons. The record is from RefSeq and is a predicted model, not a curated record. NCBI's taxonomy places the organism in Eukaryota, Metazoa, Chordata, Mammalia, Eulipotyphla, Soricidae.